RNAcentral lists this ribosomal RNA (323 nucleotides) under uncultured bacterium. RNAcentral's name for it is "bacterial SSU rRNA". It matches the Rfam family "Bacterial small subunit ribosomal RNA", at positions 1061 to 1382 of the family's 1533-position model. The record is from RNAcentral.
CGUGUCGUGAGAUGUUGGGUUAAGUCCCGCAGCGAGCGCAACCCUCACUCUUAGUUACCAGCGGGUAAUGCCGGGGACUCUAUGGGGACUGCCGGUGCCAAACCGGAGGAAGGUGGGGAUGACGUCUAGUCAUCAUGGCUCUUACGGCUAGGGUCUACACACGUGCUACAAUGGACCGGGCAGAGGGUCGCCAACUCGCGAGAGUGAGCCAAUCCCCAAACCGGUCCUCAGUUCGGAUUGCAGUCUGCUACUCUACUGCAUGAAUCUGGAAUCGCUAGUAAUCGUGGAUCAGCUACCCCACGGCGAAUACGUUCCCGGGCCUU